GCUUGCGGAAGGUAAUGUCAUCGGUGAUAGACAGGUUCAUCGUCCGCCCCGUGCGUUAGAGCCUAUCCCCGUAGGCGUAAUUGUUGAAGCCAGUUUGGGGCCGGACAGCGCGCAGAAACCGGAGCGUACACAUAGUACGUGAGGAUUUCGAGCACUGCCCGGCCCUAAAAUGGCGAAU
RNAcentral lists this small RNA (178 nucleotides) under Salmonella enterica subsp. enterica serovar Typhimurium str. SL1344. RNAcentral's name for it is "STnc1590". RNAcentral also lists the same sequence under 1 other name. The record is from RNAcentral. Lineage: Bacteria; Pseudomonadati; Pseudomonadota; Gammaproteobacteria; Enterobacterales; Enterobacteriaceae.